CCAUUCAUGGCCAUUUCCAGGAAGUCUGCCUCCAAGGAGAGGAACAUGCUCAUCUCAAGCCUGAACUCUGUUAUGCUUUGUGGGGCAGGCCCUAGGCAUUAUAUGGGUUUCUUCCAUAUCCCUGAUAAUCAGUAGCCAGCUUGAUGGGCACAUUGGUAAAAAAUGGAGACUAAUCACUAAUUUUCUGAGGGCUGGAAAUAUCUUCUAUUUAUCUUCCUAAGAAUUUGCUCAUUUCCAUUGGCAGUAAAAGUCAUGUAUUCUUCAGAAAAGGGUGACUCUUAUCUGUAAUAUGUUAAUACAUAAUUACUGCCUGGAGAUACUAACCAUUAUGCAUUCAUACCAAAAAUCUUUUAAACAUUUUUGUUUGAUCUAAAUAUGUAUAUAUGAAUUGCACUGUAUUUAGUUAUGAUGCUUUACUCCAGCACUAUCUUGUUCCUCCAGGAUGGAAGAGAAUAAACCACCUUGUUGAGGAGUGGUGAUGUAGCCAGUCAGCUGUUCAUCACUUUCAAAGAAUGUGGCUGAAGGGAGCCGCUCCUGGAACACCAGCCAGAACUUCAGAGAGUACUGGAAGCCAGGAGAAUCAGGUCACUAAAGUAGCAGGAAGAGAUUCAGAAGUCUUUGACCAAGCUGGAAGAACUGAGGAACAAGGGAAAUGUGACCAGGUCUUUCUCACCCACUCUCAGAUUAGCUUUUCCUGAUCAAAUAUUUUUCAUUCAUCUGAUCACAAUGCUUUCCUUUAUCGUACUAUCCAUAUGCCCAUCUUAAUCCUUAACAGGUCCCAGAAUAUGCUGGCAGUUUAUGGUGUGAUUUAUCCACAUAG
This is a long non-coding RNA of Candoia aspera, 820 nucleotides long. RefSeq lists it as uncharacterized. The record is from RefSeq and is a predicted model, not a curated record. Lineage: Eukaryota; Metazoa; Chordata; Lepidosauria; Squamata; Candoiidae. The transcript has 2 exons.